UACGGGGGGGGCAAGCGUUGUUCGGAAUUACUGGGCGUAAAGGGCUCGUAGGCGGCCAACUAAGUCAGACGUGAAAUCCCUCGGCUUAACCGGGGAACUGCGUCUGAUACUGGUUGGCUUGAAUCCGGGAGAGGGAUGUGGAAUUCCUGGUGUAGCGGUGAAAUGCGCAGAUAUCAGGAGGAACACCGAUGGCGAAGGCAGGUCUCUGGGCCAUAACUGACGCUGAGAAGCGAAAGCAUGGGGAGCGAACAGG
This 253-nucleotide ribosomal RNA is filed under the name uncultured bacterium. RNAcentral describes it as "partial 16S ribosomal RNA". It matches the Rfam family "Bacterial small subunit ribosomal RNA", at positions 524 to 776 of the family's 1533-position model. The record is from RNAcentral.